GACGAACGCUGGCGGCGUGCUUAACACAUGCAAGUCGAACGGAAAGGCCCUGCUGUUGUGGGGUGCUCGAGUGGCGAAAGGGUGAGUAACACGUGAGUAACCUGCCCUUGACUUUGGGAUAACUUCAGGAAACUGGGGCUAAUACCGGAUAGGAGCUCCUGCUGCAUGGUGGGGGUUGGAAAGGUUCGGCGGUUGGGGAUGGACUCGCGGCUUAUCAGCUUGUUGGUGGGGUAGUGGCUUACCAAGGCUUUGACGGGUAGCCGGCCUGAGAGGGUGACCGGCCACAUUGGGACUGAGAUACGGCCCAGACUCCUACGGGAGGCAGCAGUGGGGAAUAUUGCACAAUGGGCGGAAGCCUGAUGCAGCAACGCCGCGUGCGGGAUGACGGCCUUCGGGUUGUAAACCGCUUUCGCCUGUGACGAAGCGUGAGUGACGGUAAUGGGUAAAGAAGCACCGGCUAACUACGUG
RNAcentral lists this ribosomal RNA (468 nucleotides) under uncultured bacterium. RNAcentral's name for it is "partial 16S ribosomal RNA". It matches the Rfam family "Bacterial small subunit ribosomal RNA", at positions 28 to 507 of the family's 1533-position model. The record is from RNAcentral.